Molecule: transfer RNA, 73 nt
Filed under: Bos taurus (domestic cattle)
Lineage: Eukaryota; Metazoa; Chordata; Mammalia; Artiodactyla; Bovidae
Also listed under: 5 other names
Rfam family: tRNA
About the family: Transfer RNA (tRNA) molecules are approximately 80 nucleotides in length. Their secondary structure includes four short double-helical elements and three loops (D, anti-codon, and T loops). Further hydrogen bonds mediate the characteristic L-shaped molecular structure. tRNAs have two regions of fundamental functional importance: the anti-codon, which is responsible for specific mRNA codon recognition, and the 3' end, to which the tRNAs corresponding amino acid is attached (by aminoacyl-tRNA synthetases). tRNAs cope with the degeneracy of the genetic code in two manners: having more than one tRNA (with a specific anti-codon) for a particular amino acid; and 'wobble' base-pairing, i.e. permitting non-standard base-pairing at the 3rd anti-codon position.
Source: Rfam by way of RNAcentral
UCCCUGGUGGUCCAGUGGCUAAGACUCCGCCCUUACAAUGCAGGGGACCCGGGUUCGAUCCCUGGUCAGGGAA